UUUUAGGCUCAAUGGUUAAGUGUUGGUGUAUUUGUCCCAUGGUCUUAGGUUUGAGCCCCUUUUUCCCCAUUUCAUUUUUUUAUUAAUUUCGAUAAAUUUUGGUAUAUUGACCAUUUUCGCUCCUAACCCUAGGUAUUUAGUCACUUUUUCUUUCCUAAUUAGAUUUUCAUUUUGCCUUUAUUCAUAAUUCUAAUAGAAUUGCUCUCCACAUUCUUUUCCUCUUCUUUUCUCUCUUUAUUGUCCCUCAUUUUCAGUUCUGUGCUUUUGAUUCUUUUUCUUUCCCGUAUCAAAAUGUCCCCAUUUCAAUCAUUUCCAAACGAUGUUUAGAAUUGUCAUCAAUAACAUUUGUUACCUUUGCCAAGAAUUGGUAAGUACACUUCGUUUCAACGGUUAGAUUUCGUAUUUUCGUUGUACCAACAUCUGAUGUUAAUUUUCUGAUUUGAUUAAACAAUAUUUAACAAUCUUACCCAAUUCUUGAUACCAAUCAUUAAAUGUGUGUAUUUGUUGUUGAAGGGCCAAAUUUAGGUGAAUUGGAUCAAAGUUGAUCAUGGGAAGUGUCAAUCGGACCUGUGGUGAAAGGUGUGUGUCUUUUCCAAGUGAAUCGGUGGUGAUCGCGUGUAGGAUUAGGGCCAUAUUAUCUCCCACACGGGUGUGUAAGCCAUACAGGUGGGCUACAUGGCCAUGUGCUACUGUUACGUUAGGGUACCUUCGUUUUUCACACGGCCAAGAACCUGUCACACGGUCAGGUCCUUCUUGUAGGGUAAUUUAUCAUUUUCCACACGACAUCAGGUUGUUACAUAGCUUGGCCACACUGUUGUGUAACCCUUCCACACGGUCGUCUGACCCUUUUUUUUACAAUUUUACCCAAAAAUGUAUGAAUUGG
Molecule: long non-coding RNA, 883 nt
Filed under: Gossypium barbadense (sea-island cotton)
Lineage: Eukaryota; Viridiplantae; Streptophyta; Magnoliopsida; Malvales; Malvaceae
Description: long non-coding RNA (GBAR_LNC019755)
Source: RNAcentral